This 483-nucleotide ribosomal RNA is filed under the name uncultured bacterium. RNAcentral's name for it is "partial 16S ribosomal RNA". It matches the Rfam family "Bacterial small subunit ribosomal RNA", at positions 28 to 523 of the family's 1533-position model. The record is from RNAcentral.
GACGAACGCUGGAGGCGUGCUUAACACAUGCAAGUCGAACGAUGAAAUGGAGCUUGCUCCAUGGAUUAGUGGCGAACGGGUGAGUAACACGUGAAUAACCUGCCCUUAAUUUUGGAAUAACCCAGGGAAACCUGGGCUAAUACCGGAUAAGUAAACCUGUGGCAUCACAUGGUUUUGGAAAGUUUUUCGAUUAAGGAUGGAUUCGCGGCCUAUCAGCGUGUUGGUGAGGUAAUGGCUCACCAAGGCGACGACGGGUAGCCGGCCGGGAGAGGGUGAACGGCCACACUGGGACUGAGACACGGCCCAGACUCCUACGGGAGGCAGCAGUGGGGAAUAUUGCGCAAUGGACGAAAGUCUGACGCAGCGACGCCUCGUGAGGGACGAAGGUCUUCGGAUUGUAAACCUCUUUCAGCAGGGACGAAGCGAAAGUGACGGUACCUGCAGAAGAAGCACCGGCUAACUAUGUGCCAGCCGCCGCAGUAA